Spinacia oleracea (spinach) is the source of this 116-nucleotide non-coding RNA. NCBI's taxonomy places the organism in Eukaryota, Viridiplantae, Streptophyta, Magnoliopsida, Caryophyllales, Amaranthaceae. The record is from Rfam.
AGCCACGCAGUGAGCACAAAGCGAACUAUUCUUUCGCCUUUUACUAAAGAAUACCGUGUGUUCGCUGCAUUCAGUGGCAUACGUUUAUUUUUGGAGGGAGUUCUUUCAUAGAAGCU